This 469-nucleotide ribosomal RNA is filed under the name uncultured bacterium. Its description in RNAcentral is "bacterial SSU rRNA". It matches the Rfam family "Bacterial small subunit ribosomal RNA", at positions 46 to 507 of the family's 1533-position model. The record is from RNAcentral.
GCCUAACACAUGCAAGUCGAACGGUAACGACGGGAGCUUGCUCCCGGGCGACGAGUGGCGGACGGGUGAGUAAUACUUGGGAAUCUGCCCAGUAGUGGGGGACAACAUUCGGAAACGGAUGCUAAUACCGCAUACGCUCUACGGAGGAAAGUGGAGGAUCUUCGGACUUCACGCUAUUGGAUGAGCCCAAGUCGGAUUAGCUUGUAGGUGGGGUAACGGCCUACCUAGGCGACGAUCCGUAGCUGGUCUGAGAGGACGAUCAGCCACACUGGAACUGAGACACGGUCCAGACUCCUACGGGAGGCAGCAGUGGGGAAUAUUGGACAAUGGGGGCAACCCUGAUCCAGCAAUGCCGCGUGUGUGAAGAAGGCCUGCGGGUUGUAAAGCACUUUCAGUGGAGAAGAAAGCCUACGGUUAAUACCCGUGAGUCUUGACGUAACCCACAGAAGAAGCACCGGCUAACUCCGUG